UAGGGAAUCUUCGGCAAUGGACGAAAGUCUGACCGAGCAACGCCGCGUGAGUGAAGAAGGUCUUCGGAUCGUAAAACUCUGUUGUCAGAGAAGAACAAGGACGUUAGUAACUGAACGUCCCCUGACGGUAUCUAACCAGAAAGCCACGGCUAACUACGUGCCAGCAGCCGCGGUAAUACGUAGGUGGCAAGCGUUGUUCGGAUUUAUUGGGCGUAAAGCUAGCGCAGGCGGUUUCUUAAGUCUGAUGUGAAAGCCCCCGGCUCAACCGGGGAGGGUCAUUGGAAACUGGGAGACUUGAGUGCAGAAGAGGAGAGUGGAAUUCCAUGUGUAGCGGUGAAAUGCGUAGAUAUAUGGAGGAACACCAGUGGCGAAGGCGGCUCUCUGGUCUGUAACUGACGCUGAGGCUCGAAAGCGUGGGGAGCAAACAGG
RNAcentral lists this ribosomal RNA (429 nucleotides) under Gemmatimonadota bacterium. RNAcentral describes it as "Gemmatimonadetes bacterium partial 16S ribosomal RNA". It matches the Rfam family "Bacterial small subunit ribosomal RNA", at positions 355 to 776 of the family's 1533-position model. Lineage: Bacteria; Pseudomonadati; Gemmatimonadota. The record is from RNAcentral.